Molecule: non-coding RNA, 30 nt
Filed under: Mus musculus (house mouse)
Lineage: Eukaryota; Metazoa; Chordata; Mammalia; Rodentia; Muridae
Also listed under: 1 other name
Source: RNAcentral
UGGUCCUUGACAGAUGGCUGAGAUCAGAGA